GGGGGGGGCAAGCGUUGUUCGGAAUUACUGGGCGUAAAGGGCUCGUAGGUGGCCGAUUCAGUCAGACGUGAAAUCCCUCGGCUCAACCGGGGAACUGCGUCUGAUACUAGUUGGCUUGAAUCCGGGAGAGGGACGCGGAAUUCCAGGUGUAGCGGUGAAAUGCGUAGAUAUCUGGAGGAACACCGGUGGCGAAGGCGGCGUCCUGGACCGGUAUUGACACUGAGGAGCGAAAGCCAGGGGAGCAAACGGGAUUAGAUACCCCGGUAGUCCUGGCCCUAAACGAUGAAUGCUUGGUGUGGCGGGUAUCGAUCCCUGCCGUGCCGAAGCUAACGCAUUAAGCAUUCCGCCUGGGGAGUACGGUCGCAAGGCUG
RNAcentral lists this ribosomal RNA (371 nucleotides) under uncultured bacterium. Its description in RNAcentral is "bacterial SSU rRNA". It matches the Rfam family "Bacterial small subunit ribosomal RNA", at positions 527 to 896 of the family's 1533-position model. The record is from RNAcentral.